UAUGUUUUAUGAAUUAUGCUGCCAUUACGUUAAUUCUUUUGUGACACUUAUCCACCUAUGACAAGAACUAUAUUAUCAACAACAAAAAGAUAUUAAAGAAUUAAAUUCAAUAGGUUCUGAUCAAGUAAGAUUCAUUAAUGGAUGCUAAAACUAAUGGGUGAAUAUAUGAUGAGAAGCAAGGCAUUUACAGUGUCUCAAAAUAUCUCCCCACAAAAAACCCUGCUAUUUACAAAGGGGAAAAAGA
This is a long non-coding RNA of Herpailurus yagouaroundi (jaguarundi), 244 nucleotides long. RefSeq lists it as uncharacterized. The transcript is spliced from 2 exons. Lineage: Eukaryota; Metazoa; Chordata; Mammalia; Carnivora; Felidae. The record is from RefSeq and is a predicted model, not a curated record.